RNAcentral lists this ribosomal RNA (428 nucleotides) under uncultured bacterium. RNAcentral's name for it is "partial 16S ribosomal RNA". It matches the Rfam family "Bacterial small subunit ribosomal RNA", at positions 354 to 796 of the family's 1533-position model. The record is from RNAcentral.
GUGGGGAAUAUUGGGCAAUGGGCGCAAGCCUGACCCAGCAACGCCGCGUGAAGGAAGAAGGCUUUCGGGUUGUAAACUUCUUUUACCAGGGACGAAACAAAUGACGGUACCUGGUGAAUAAGCCACGGCUAACUACGUGCCAGCAGCCGCGGUAAUACGUAGGUGGCGAGCGUUAUCCGGAUUUAUUGGGUGUAAAGGGCGUGUAGGCGGGACAGCAAGUCAGAUGUGAAAACCAGAGGCUCAACCUCUGGCCUGCAUUUGAAACUGUUGUUCUUGAGUGUCGGAGAGGUAAUCGGAAUUCCGUGUGUAGCGGUGAAAGGCGUAGAUAUACGGAGGAACACCAGUGGCGAAGGCGGAUUACUGGACGAUAACUGACGCUGAGGCGCGAAAGCGUGGGGAGCAAACAGGAUUAGAAACCCCGGUAGUCC